AUAUAACACUUCAAAAUCAAUUGACAGCUGAAAGAAAUCUGGAUAUAAUUAAUACUUCAGUAGUACUUGUAGCUAUUGGAGUGUUAUCAGAUCAAUCCACCGAUUUAAGAACCUGGAUGGCCACAAUUGAGCAUAGAGACGAUAGUGUUACACAUUUCGAAAGUAGACUAAAUUUUGGGAAUACAAUUCAGCUAAACAAAUAUACUCAUUAAACACAUGUAUAGACCAUCCACACAAUGGGCGUGUUUGCGAUAUUAAAUUCCAAGAAAUUGGUAAACAAUUUCUUUGUGCUUCUGUUGGGAAAGAUAAUUUGCUUAAAAUAUGGAAGUUUAUGGAAUCCACUCCUAUUCACAAAAAAAGACAUUGGCAAUGCGUGGGUUCUGUAAAACAUAAGGAUCUUCCGGCUAA
Ctenocephalides felis (cat flea) is the source of this 408-nucleotide long non-coding RNA. RefSeq lists it as uncharacterized. Lineage: Eukaryota; Metazoa; Arthropoda; Insecta; Siphonaptera; Pulicidae. The transcript is spliced from 3 exons. The record is from RefSeq and is a predicted model, not a curated record.